This is a non-coding RNA of Ceratotherium simum simum (southern white rhinoceros), 89 nucleotides long. Lineage: Eukaryota; Metazoa; Chordata; Mammalia; Perissodactyla; Rhinocerotidae. The record is from RefSeq and is a predicted model, not a curated record.
CAAUUUCUACAACCCCUACAUCCUUACACAAGCCUGGAGGGUAUAGCCGACUACACAUCUAGGCUAUAUGGUACUAAUCUUAUGGGACA